Cucurbita moschata (crookneck pumpkin) is the source of this 1407-nucleotide long non-coding RNA. RefSeq lists it as uncharacterized. The record is from RefSeq and is a predicted model, not a curated record. Lineage: Eukaryota; Viridiplantae; Streptophyta; Magnoliopsida; Cucurbitales; Cucurbitaceae. The transcript has 5 exons.
GGCUAAAACAUGAUGGGACACUCUUUUUUGAGGCCCAGCAGCGGCCCAUCUCAGCACUAGAAUUAGAAUAAUCCAAUGGCGGGAACUCAAAGACGCUGAGAAAUUCAUCACAGGCUCUCGUAGCCGCCAAGAAAAAGCCACCAAUAUCGGCAUUCCAUUGCCCAAUUGAAUUGUUCAUGGCGCCGGACGGAGUACCAGGUAGCGGCUCCUUCGUCAGUGUUGCCAUUUUUCCUCAUCUGGAAGCUCAUCUUCUAUGCGGAGAGCCAAGACAGAGGCAGAGAUAAGCGAAUAGAGGCCGAACCAGUCUCUGAACCGAUCGAUGAGGGAGGGAGAUGAGAGAUGUUUCAAGGAACGAUCGUUUUAUCGGCUCAGAAGCUCGAAGACUGUCUGAGGUUGCAGGUGUAGAAAUAAAAGGUUAAACCUUGUUGAUGCUGGAAGAAUUUUCUGGAGCUUUAAGCAUGGAUAUCUCCCUCUCUAACCCCAUCUCCACACUGCUAUUAAUCUAAAUCACGGUGUACUACCUUUAUUUUCCUUUGUUAUCUUCUUGAGCCUGAAAUUUGUGUUCCUUGCAUCCCUUUCUUUUUAAUAUCACAAAAACCUUAACAAACCCAAGCCAGUUGCAUGAGCCUGCCACUGUGUAUAAGGUUUUCAUGGACCUACAUAAAAAAGAAAAAGUAUACGAUCAUCUAUCCAGGUCUCGAAAGACUAAAAUGUAACCAAUUUGAACUAGAUUAUAUGUAUACUUCGCUUGUGACCUUAGAAUCUGAGUGCGAAGAAUAUGGCAUUACUCUGAUUCCACCAAUUGAUUUCAUAUGUGAAGAGGCUCCAAAGUCCUAUGAAAUCAAGACCAGCCGGGCUUAUUUGUAUGGUAUAUCGAAAGAAUUCGCAAAUGGAUAUAUAUCUCCAAAUCCGUCGACCACAAAAAUGCAGUAAAUGGAUGGGGAAAGGUGAAAGAAUAGCUGUUCCAUCCUGCACCAUUUGGGUCAAACCCCAGAAGUCUAUUCUGCAUUUAAUGAGAAAAGAAAUGGGACUACGGUUGGUGCAAUCAAGGCGACUCGAACUCUUUGAGAUGCCGACAACAACCUGUUUUACAUCCCAGUAUGUUACGAGUAAGGUGUGAAACCGACCAUUUGAGAGAAAAUUGCAGAAAAGAAACUGAGAAUUUUCAGAACUUGUGAGUGAUGAUAAUCUCUGCUUUGCUUUAUAACUUCAAAGGUACGAGAUAUUUGAUUCAAUCUAAGUCUAGUAUUCUCAUUAACUCGUAGUUUAAAGUGAAAGGUGUUUAGGAUUGUUGGAAAUGAGUGUCAUGUUGGCUAAUUCAAUAGGAAGCCUUUUGGAGAAAUAAAAAACUAAAGUCGCUAAAAAGUAGGCAAUAUCAUGCUAUGGUAGAGUAUCGUGUUUCUGCAU